RNAcentral lists this ribosomal RNA (397 nucleotides) under Proteus mirabilis. RNAcentral's name for it is "partial 23S ribosomal RNA". It matches the Rfam family "Bacterial large subunit ribosomal RNA", at positions 505 to 730 of the family's 2925-position model. Lineage: Bacteria; Pseudomonadati; Pseudomonadota; Gammaproteobacteria; Enterobacterales; Morganellaceae. The record is from RNAcentral.
GAGGGAAAGGCGAAAAGAACCCCGGCGAGGGGAGUGAAAAAGAACCUGAAACCGUGUACGUACAAGCAGUAGGAGCCCCAUCACUCAAGUGCCUCGCACUGAGUGAUGCAAGAACAUCACUGAAAAUAGCGCUGAAUUUGCUAACAAGGUUGGUCGAUUUUUUCAAGCCGUCGCGCAGUGUACCUAGAAGUACAGGAGCAACGGAAGUUAAAAAAUCGGGCAAGAUUGAACGCAAAGGCAAGCGGGACAUUUGAGGAUGGGGUGACUGCGUACCUUUUGUAUAAUGGGUCAGCGACUUAUAUUCUGUAGCAAGGUUAACUGUAUAGGGGAGCCGUAGGGAAACCGAGUCUUAACUGGGCGAAUGAGUUGCAGGGUAUAGACCCGAAACCCGGUGAUC